Molecule: transfer RNA, 73 nt
Filed under: Cordylochernes scorpioides
Lineage: Eukaryota; Metazoa; Arthropoda; Arachnida; Pseudoscorpiones; Chernetidae
Description: tRNA-Thr
Rfam family: tRNA
About the family: Transfer RNA (tRNA) molecules are approximately 80 nucleotides in length. Their secondary structure includes four short double-helical elements and three loops (D, anti-codon, and T loops). Further hydrogen bonds mediate the characteristic L-shaped molecular structure. tRNAs have two regions of fundamental functional importance: the anti-codon, which is responsible for specific mRNA codon recognition, and the 3' end, to which the tRNAs corresponding amino acid is attached (by aminoacyl-tRNA synthetases). tRNAs cope with the degeneracy of the genetic code in two manners: having more than one tRNA (with a specific anti-codon) for a particular amino acid; and 'wobble' base-pairing, i.e. permitting non-standard base-pairing at the 3rd anti-codon position.
Source: RNAcentral
UCCAGGGUAGCCUAGUGGACAUGGCAUCUGCCCGGUAAGCGGAACACUGUGUGUUCGAUUCCCAUCCUUGGAC